RNAcentral lists this ribosomal RNA (271 nucleotides) under uncultured archaeon. Its description in RNAcentral is "partial 16S ribosomal RNA". It matches the Rfam family "Archaeal small subunit ribosomal RNA", at positions 477 to 747 of the family's 1478-position model. The record is from RNAcentral.
CGGCAGCCCGAGUGGUGAUCACUAUUAUUGGGUCUAAGGGGUCCGUAGCCGGUUUGAUCAGUCUUUUGGGAAAUCUGACAGCUUAACUGUUAGGCUUCCAAAGGAUACUGUCAGACUUGGGACCGGGAGAGGUAAGAGGUACUACAGGGGUAGGAGUGAAAUCUUGUAAUCCCUGUGGGACCACCAGUGGCGAAGGCGUCUUACCAGAACGGGUCCGACGGUGAGGGACGAAAGCUGGGGGCACGAACCGGAUUAGAUACCCGAGUAGUCC